Manis pentadactyla (Chinese pangolin) is the source of this 521-nucleotide long non-coding RNA. RefSeq lists it as uncharacterized. The transcript is spliced from 3 exons. The record is from RefSeq and is a predicted model, not a curated record. Lineage: Eukaryota; Metazoa; Chordata; Mammalia; Pholidota; Manidae.
UCGACAUUCCUGCCCACUCUCAAGAUAAGUCACCAGCCCUUGACCUGUAACAGGAAGGCUUGUGAUCCUUGGCUGCUAAAGGCCAAGGCCGUGAGACAGACGAUGACUCUCUGUUUCUUGAUUUCCCUUCCUGCGGAGAAGGCCUCUGCGCACAUGGCUUCCUGGAACUGGAGGAGAGUAGCCGAGAAUAAGAAGCGGAAAGGAGCCCGAAUAGUUCAUCCAUCAGUUUCCAAAAAGGAAGAUGGUGUUUACUACUGAAGUUUGGCUUUCCUGGCGCCAAAAGCCCAACAAAGCAAUUGUCGGGAAUUAGGAAGGCACUCCAUUCCACUCUGCAAACGGCGUGACCACGACCCCGCGUGACGGCGCUGCACCCAAAACCCCAGGUCAUGGACAGUGGCCCCAUGCCAUUUGCCCCUUACUCAUCUCUAGCAGUUUCAUUUAAGAAGCUUUCCUUCAGCUCAUUCUGAAGAUUCUUCCACGGAGUGAGGUGAGUUAUCUUCUUUGCUGUGUCUCCCUCUCCA